UCCUCCCUCUUUCUUCGUGCUUAACACAUGCAAGUCGAACGGAAAGGCCCUGCUUGCAGGGUACUCGAGUGGCGAACGGGUGAGUAACACGUGGGUGAUCUGCCCUGCACUUCGGGAUAAGCCUGGGAAACUGGGUCUAAUACCGGAUAGGAGCCAUUUUUAGUGUGAUGGUUGGAAAGUUUUUUCGGUGUAGGAUGAGCUCGCGGCCUAUCAGCUUGUUGGUGGGGUAAUGGCCUACCAAGGCGGCGACGGGUAGCCGGCCUGAGAGGGUGGACGGCCACAUUGGGACUGAGAUACGGCCCAGACUCCUACGGGAGGCAGCAGUGGGGAAUAUUGCACAAUGGGCGCAAGCCUGAUGCAGCGACGCCGCGUGGGGGAUGACGGCCUUCGGGUUGUAAACUCCUUUCGCUAGGGACGAAGCUUUUUGUGACGGUACCUAGAUAAGAAGCACCGGCUAACUACGUG
This 465-nucleotide ribosomal RNA is filed under the name uncultured bacterium. RNAcentral's name for it is "partial 16S ribosomal RNA". It matches the Rfam family "Bacterial small subunit ribosomal RNA", at positions 36 to 507 of the family's 1533-position model. The record is from RNAcentral.